CGCUGUACAGUGAUAGUCAACCCAGCCAGCGUAUUGGAAAUGGAUAGCGGCGCAGUGCUCAUUUUUCUGCCAAUCGUUUGGUUCUCCUUUAUGCCAGUUUUGAUAACCAAGGUGCAGAAAGAUCAAAUUUAAUUGGCAAAAACUCAGAGGGAUGAACACUGACCUUCCAUUAUCUUUCUAUUCUUUAAUUUUCCGUGAAAUCGAUGUAUCAUAUUUAACAUACCUGAUGUUGGCUGUACCAGAGCAACAGUAAACACCAAAAGUAGAUACCAUGGACUAUCCAUUUUGCAGUUCUGUUUCACUUUUGGAUAUGGA
Magallana angulata is the source of this 315-nucleotide long non-coding RNA. RefSeq lists it as uncharacterized. The transcript is spliced from 3 exons. Lineage: Eukaryota; Metazoa; Mollusca; Bivalvia; Ostreida; Ostreidae. The record is from RefSeq and is a predicted model, not a curated record.